UGCCUGUAUUAAAAAUUACCAUAUUACCUAUGUUUUAUAUUUAUAUUUAUAGCUCAGCCUGCUACGAAGGUUUAACCACACACCCCAGGUGUAACAAUAUUUUCUCAAUGUAAAUCCAGGAAAUAACAGUUCAUCUUUUAUUAUUGUGUUCUAUUGAUACCGAAAUGAUAGCUAGGUAAUACCAAUUAAUAACUUAUUUUUUCAUAAAUCCAAAUUUCAUCUAAAUUAAAUUCAGAAAAUGAAAAUACUUUCAUCAUUGUUGAAAACAUUUAAACAUUCUUUUUUAUUUAAACAGAAGCUCAAGUCAAUUAAUUUGUAAAUCAUUU
RNAcentral lists this long non-coding RNA (326 nucleotides) under Mytilus galloprovincialis (Mediterranean mussel). Lineage: Eukaryota; Metazoa; Mollusca; Bivalvia; Mytilida; Mytilidae. The record is from RNAcentral.